Molecule: unclassified non-coding RNA, 240 nt
Filed under: soil metagenome
Description: partial contains 5.8S ribosomal RNA, internal transcribed spacer 2, and large subunit ribosomal RNA
Source: RNAcentral
AACACUGUUAACCUGCGGUACCUGCGGAAGGAUCAUUAACGAAUCUAAAGUCGAUACGUUGUGCUGGUGGCAACACACGUGCACACGUGUCGCAUACAUCCACACACCUGUGAACCCUAGACUCUGGUUGAUCGAACGCCGGACUCAUGUCCAUGCGUGUGGGGAUCUUUGUGUCCUCCGUUCGCCCGGGGUACUUUUACACACGCCGAAUGUGAUAGAAUGUAAUCUGUGCAUAACGCG